This 129-nucleotide ribosomal RNA is filed under the name uncultured eukaryote. RNAcentral describes it as "partial 18S ribosomal RNA". It matches the Rfam family "Eukaryotic small subunit ribosomal RNA", at positions 1299 to 1458 of the family's 1831-position model. The record is from RNAcentral.
UGGUGGAGUGAUCUGUCUGGUUAAUUCCGUUAACGAACGAGAUCUUAACCCGCUAAAUAGAUGAUUUUCGAAUUAUCUUCUUAGAGGGACACUUGAUCGUAUAGAUCAAGGAAGUUUGAGGUAAUAACA